UGCAACCAUUGAAAAGUUUUUCUCUAGCAACCCAAGGCCGGGUUCGUCAUCAUCAUCAACGAAUAAAUCAGCAAGGUAUUUGCUGGCAAGAGACUUAGCUCUAUGGUUUAGUUGCGAUUUGCAGCCAUUUAGUGCAGUAUCUGACCGGGGCAUGAUUGACUUUAUGAGAAAAUAUGGUGUUAUUGGAAAAGAGGAAAAUCUACCCAGCCGUACGACGGUUUCAAGAGAAGCAUUGAGCGAUAUUUAUGGUUCAAUGAUGACUUUUGUGAAGGAAAAGAUCUCAAAUUCUGGUAAAUUUGGAACCCUUACCUUCGACUUAUGGACGGAUGGCUAUAGACGUAGAUCGUACAUUACGUUCACUUAUCAUUUUAUGGAUGGUGACAUGAGUCUUUCGAAAAUAACACUCUGUACAAAUCCAAUGGAUGAAAAAAAAACCGG
Long non-coding RNA from Armigeres subalbatus, 438 nucleotides. RefSeq lists it as uncharacterized. The transcript is spliced from 3 exons. NCBI's taxonomy places the organism in Eukaryota, Metazoa, Arthropoda, Insecta, Diptera, Culicidae. The record is from RefSeq and is a predicted model, not a curated record.